RNAcentral lists this ribosomal RNA (506 nucleotides) under uncultured bacterium. RNAcentral describes it as "partial 16S ribosomal RNA". It matches the Rfam family "Bacterial small subunit ribosomal RNA", at positions 29 to 523 of the family's 1533-position model. The record is from RNAcentral.
AGUGAACGCUGGCGGUAGGCCUAACACAUGCAAGUCGAACGGCAGCACAGGAGAGCUUGCUCUCUGGGUGGCGAGUGGCGGACGGGUGAGGAAUACAUCGGAAUCUACUUUUUCGUGGGGGAUAACGUAGGGAACCUUACGCUAAUACCGCAUACGACCUACGGGUGAAAGCAGGGGAUCUUCGGACCUUGCGCGAUUGAAUGAGCCGAUGUCGGAUUAGCUAGUUGGCGGGGUAAAGGCCCACCAAGGCGACGAUCCGUAGCUGGUCUGAGAGGAUGAUCAGCCACACUGGAACUGAGACACGUUCCAGACUCCUACGGGAGGCAGCAGUGGGGAAUAGUGGACAAUGGGCGCAAGCCUGAUCCAGCCAUACCGCGUGGGUGAAGAAGGCCUUCGGGUUGUAAAGCCCUUUUGUUGGGAAAGAAAUCCAGCUGGUUAAUACCCGGUUGGGAUGACGGUACCCAAAGAAUAAGCACCGGCUAACUUCGUGCCAGCAGCCGCCGUAA